RNAcentral lists this long non-coding RNA (289 nucleotides) under Coffea arabica (coffee). Its description in RNAcentral is "long non-coding RNA (CARA_LNC001950)". Lineage: Eukaryota; Viridiplantae; Streptophyta; Magnoliopsida; Gentianales; Rubiaceae. The record is from RNAcentral.
CUUUUCCAACACUUUGUUCAUACACAAGAACUAAUAUAAUAAACAUACAUCAAUGUAGUCCCACAUACGACAUUCCAAUUUCAAUCUAACCUUUUCUCUUUUCUUUCUGUUCUAUUCCUGUUAAUCCACACCAUGUAACAGUUAUCCAACAACAUGUAAGACUUAUCCAACAUUGUGUUCAUACACGUGAACUAAUAGAAUAGACAUACACUAAUGAAUAUCCAGAAAAAACAUACCAAUUUAACACUAAAAUUUCUACUCUGUUUCUUCUCUGUGCCUAUUAAUCUAC